CUGAUGGUGUGGACUGCGUGGCAGACACCCCGCUCGGUCUCCUUUCUUUUUAUUCAUUCUUCCUCUCAUUCUUUGUUCUUUCAUGAACUCCGGCUAUCUCCUCAGCAGCCAUCCAGUCGGAGAGAUCGAGUGAGGCAGCGGGAAGCGUGGAGGGGCUCGAGAAAGAGAGAUGAGCCACAGCUUGGAAGACUGCUUACCCGCAACUAGAAGAUAGCAAUAACGGGGAGCAGAACACGGCAGGAUUUGGGGUCUUACUCAUUCCUGAUAUCCGGACAUCUCGCCUCGGAUAACAGCAUUGCGACUCCACCGCUCACUCUGUUUGCUCUGCAACAUUGAUGUUUUAUCACCACCAAAAACACAAACCUGGAGGAGUUCUGCCAUGUGGUGAGUAGCUAAUGCUAACAGUUUGCUUCUACUAUCUGAGACAUGCUCUGCUCUCUCCUGGACACUAAAUUAACAACAGCUUUCCAGCGCUCCUCUGUGAGAGCGGAGGUUGGGUAGUUGCACACGUAUGGCUGCUGUUUCUCACCAGUAUCAGCUGAUGGAGAGCUCUAGUUUCGUUGCACCGUUCGUGUUGCGGACCGCCAGGCUUAUAAAGCGUGGGGGAAACCCUGCUGUGUCUAAUGCAGAAAUUGGGGUCAGAAGACUAUUUUCACAUUAAGCCUGCAUGUUAAACUCAGAGUGACUGAUUACUUUCAAAAUUUACAAAUAAAACAUGGUUUCUCAGUGAGCUUGUUCUUUAAUGUCUGCAAUAUGAAUCAAUAAUAAUGAAAAAGUGAUUUUGACACUGAACUGUUUACUGUCUGAUGUUUAUUUUAUUAUGUAAUUUUAUAAAACAUAUAAGGGCCUGAUGGACAGAUGACCAGUGUGUCUGCUGCCUCUCACCCUCAAUGACAGCUGGAUAUCGCCCCUGGCUUUCCCACAAUCUGAGUAAGAAUGUAAUGGUUUACAUAAUGAAUGGAUACAAGUAUAAAUAAAUAAAUGACUGUUGCCAUCUGUAGAUCCUCCACAAGAAGGCAGAACACACAAAUGCUAUAGAUAAUGGCAGGUCUAUGAUGAAGGCACUGAACCUAAUACUCCAUCAGGCCUGAAGGGGUUUGACAAAAAUUUUGAAUGAAGCAAAGCAAGCAGCAAGCAGUCAAAUCUCCCAUAGACAACACAAAACACCUCAUUUGAGUUGUUUGACUGGACUCUGAGCUCCUUUUGAAAAACCAAGUUCUUCACCUUAUGAGUCUGACCCUGGUUUCACACUGGAAGCAUCAGCGGCACGAAAUGGCAGCGGAACGGUUUACUCGUGAACUUCAAAGCGGUCCUUUUCACACCAUGAGUUUUGGCAGAGGCACGGCUUCCUCGCUGGGCUCGUCGCUGGAUUCAUGAGAUCACACGAUUCCUCGAGACUUCAGGUCACGGUUUGUGUAUACAAUCCGUCAUUAAACCAAAAAGAAGGAAAUCACAUUUGCUAUCGCUGUUUGAUGUCAUAUAUGAUGUUGUUCUUCUCCACUGCCAUGAUUAAAGCCAUGAAAACACACCACUGCACUUCUGAAAUGAUGUGAGUAAAUAAGUCAUUGGGUCACACGUGGGUGGGUCACAUGUUGCAUCGCUGCAGUACUUUUAUUUUGAAAAUUAUUGGGGAUUUGCACACUGAAACAGUGUGUGAUUUCCUGUCUAGCCCUUUGUUAACUGCAGAAAUUGACUCAUCCCAGAAGCAGGUCGUGGCAAAAUAGAACCCGAUGCCAACUCUAGAGGCGCGGCGUGCCGCCUCUGGGAUGCUCCUGGAAAUUGCUGCGUUCUGAUGGUUUAAGUCCACAGUCUAUAGACUAUAAUAGAUUCUAUUUGAAGCAGUGAUAUUCUGCUGCUGUUCCACGCUGCUGAUGCUUUCAGUGUGAAACCAGGGGGUCAUCAGCUAUCUGAGCUCAUUACCCAAAGCUCAUGGGCCCAUAGGUGAAGGUCGGAAAGCAAAUGUGCACAUCAACAACUGAUUACGUUUCCAUACUUGCUUUGGUUUCUAUUUCUUGCAGUUGUAUGAGUAUUUAACAACUAUGUGAAUGAAUGAAACUGUUGCGCACCCAUGAGUUAUUUGACUCUCUUGAUUUGUUGACCAUGUUGGCUGACUUACCCAGGACGGUGAGCCGAGCAGGACGGGACCUCAUGGCAGCCUGGACGGCCUGGCAUUCAAACACUGCAUCAUCCAUCAGCUCAACACGCUGAAUGCGCAAAUGAUGCUCCCCCGAGCCGUGGUCGCCAAUCACUGUGUAACGUGGAUAGCCUGCAGCGCAAACAGUUUUGUUUAUUUUACAUCAUUUUCAAUGUCAGAAUACAACUGAUCUGCCAAAAUGCAUUCAUUUGUUAAGUUCCUCAUAAAUCAUAAAGUCUGUUGUCAAGCAUGAAUUCAGUGUUACCAGGUUAUGAGUGCAUUAAAAGAGCUACAUAGAUUGAUUUAUAUAGCUAGAUCGUUUGUUUAAUAACGCGUUCACAUUACAUUUACAGCGCUCGUGGUGAUGCUACUGAGAUGCUGUGGAAGUUUCUGCAUCCAGGACAAAUCAUGUUCCAUCAGAACAGUGAAGAUGAAUGGCUCAAACCUGAGUUGUUUCAGCACUGCUGUGUGAAAGGGAUUUACAGUUUAAUAACGGGAGAAAGCAGAGGGUUAUCCAAGAGACCUGGGGAGUCGAACCAGAUGGUUUUAUGGAUAUCCCCUCAACUAAUAUCAAAUUUUGCAUUGGGUGUGUGUAAUGUGGAGUGCUUCUUUCUGUGGGGACGAAUGAUCAGGAAAACGUACGUGUUAAACUAAUGUGCACUGUGAGGUAUUUUUACAGGCUUUUGGAAUUGUUCAUCGAUGAAAAGCCUUUUAUGCGACAUCUCUUCAUGUUUGGACGUGGAUACAAUUUGUAGAAUGCAAGGAUAUUUUCUUGUCCUAAAUCUUUUACUUUAGACAAAUGUGAGACAUUUCCAGUUGAGGAAAGGCUCUUUUUGAUUUUUUUCCACUACAGUUGUCCUUCUGUAAUUGAUUGGUGAUAAAACCAGAGGAUUGGAUUGAAGAGCUUUACAGGAGAACAAGGCCAGGCAUUCUCAGAGAGCCCCAGGGCAACUUUUUUGCAAAUCAAUCUACACUUCUCUGUCACCUGGGGAUGCACAUGCAUCGUUUCACAAGUACGUUGGCCGGCAUUUUGUAGGUCUGAUGCUGGAAUUUCAGUCGUGGUUCAGCGCCACGGUAACUUCUAUGGCGGGAAACCCUGAUUGCACUCAUGCGUCCGGACCACGAUCAUGUAUUUACUAAUGUGUUUAUAGAUUUCAGAGACUUUUUAACAGGGACAAAUGUGUCCUUUGUUCUCCUCUAGCUCUUCAUGUGGUCACCAACUCUAAACCAUGCUCUUAACCUAUGCUUUUCUCAUUUCCAUCCACGAAUAAAAUGUUUGCUCAGUA
Molecule: non-coding RNA, 3420 nt
Organism: Nothobranchius furzeri (turquoise killifish)
Lineage: Eukaryota; Metazoa; Chordata; Actinopteri; Cyprinodontiformes; Nothobranchiidae
Source: RefSeq, a predicted model, not a curated record